UACGAAGGGGGCUAGCGUUGUUCGGAAUUAUUGGGCGUAAAGAGCGUGUAGGCGGCCAGGUAGGUCAGCUGUGAAAACUCGAGGCUCAACCUCGAGACGCCGGUUGAAACCAUCUGGCUAGAGUCCGGAAGAGGAGAGUGGAAUUCCUGGUGUGGCGGUGAAAUGCGCAGAUAUCAGGAAGAACACCCGUGGCUAAGGCGGCUCUCUAGUACGGUACUGACGCUGAGACGCGAAAGCGUGGGGAGCGAACAGG
Molecule: ribosomal RNA, 253 nt
Filed under: uncultured bacterium
Lineage: Bacteria
Description: partial 16S ribosomal RNA
Rfam family: Bacterial small subunit ribosomal RNA
Source: RNAcentral